AAAUUGAAGAGUUUGAUCAUGGCUCAGAUUGAACGCUGGCGGCAGGCCUAACACAUGCAAGUCGAACGGUAACAGGAAGCAGCUUGCUGCUUCGCUGACGAGUGGCGGACGGGUGAGUAAUGUCUGGGAAACUGCCUGAUGGAGGGGGAUAACUACUGGAAACGGUAGCUAAUACCGCAUAACGUCGCAAGACCAAAGAGGGGGACCUUCGGGCCUCUUGCCAUCGGAUGUGCCCAGAUGGGAUUAGCUUGUUGGUGGGGUAACGGCUCACCAAGGCGACGAUCCCUAGCUGGUCUGAGAGGAUGACCAGCCACACUGGAACUGAGACACGGUCCAGACUCCUACGGGAGGCAGCAGUGGGGAAUAUUGCACAAUGGGCGCAAGCCUGAUGCAGCCAUGCCGCGUGUAUGAAGAAGGCCUUCGGGUUGUAAAGUACUUUCAGCGGGGAGGAAGGGAGUAAAGUUAAUACCUUUGCUCAUUGACGUUACCCGCAGAAGAAGCACCGGCUAACUCCGUGCCAGCAGCCGCGGUAAUACGGAGGGUGCAAGCGUUAAUCGGAAUUACUGGGCGUAAAGCGCACGCAGGCGGUUUGUUAAGUCAGAUGUGAAAUCCCCGGGCUCAACCUGGGAACUGCAUCUGAUACUGGCAAGCUUGAGUCUCGUAGAGGGGGGUAGAAUUCCAGGUGUAGCGGUGAAAUGCGUAGAGAUCUGGAGGAAUACCGGUGGCGAAGGCGGCCCCCUGGACGAAGACUGACGCUCAGGUGCGAAAGCGUGGGGAGCAAACAGGAUUAGAUACCCUGGUAGUCCACGCCGUAAACGAUGUCGACUUGGAGGUUGUGCCCUUGAGGCGUGGCUUCCGGAGCUAACGCGUUAAGUCGACCGCCUGGGGAGUACGACCGCAAGGUUAAAACUCAAAUGAAUUGACGGGGGCCCGCACAAGCGGUGGAGCAUGUGGUUUAAUUCGAUGCAACGCGAAGAACCUUACCUGGUCUUGACAUCCACAGAACUUUCCAGAGAUGGAUUGGUGCCUUCGGGAACUGUGAGACAGGUGCUGCAUGGCUGUCGUCAGCUCGUGUUGUGAAAUGUUGGGUUAAGUCCCGCAACGAGCGCAACCCUUAUCCUUUGUUGCCAGCGGUCCGGCCGGGAACUCAAAGGAGACUGCCAGUGAUAAACUGGAGGAAGGUGGGGAUGACGUCAAGUCAUCAUGGCCCUUACGACCAGGGCUACACACGUGCUACAAUGGCGCAUACAAAGAGAAGCGACCUCGCGAGAGCAAGCGGACCUCAUAAAGUGCGUCGUAGUCCGGAUUGGAGUCUGCAACUCGACUCCAUGAAGUCGGAAUCGCUAGUAAUCGUGGAUCAGAAUGCCACGGUGAAUACGUUCCCGGGCCUUGUACACACCGCCCGUCACACCAUGGGAGUGGGUUGCAAAAAGAAGUAGGUAGCUUAACCUUCGGGAGGGCGCUUACCACUUUGUGAUUCAUGACUGGGGUGAAGUCGUAACAAGGUAACCGUAGGGGAACCUGCGGUUGGAUCACCUCCUUACCUUAAAGAAGC
This 1555-nucleotide ribosomal RNA is filed under the name Shigella sonnei. RNAcentral's name for it is "bacterial SSU rRNA". It matches the Rfam family "Bacterial small subunit ribosomal RNA". Lineage: Bacteria; Pseudomonadati; Pseudomonadota; Gammaproteobacteria; Enterobacterales; Enterobacteriaceae. The record is from RNAcentral.